This 639-nucleotide long non-coding RNA is filed under the name Ananas comosus (pineapple). Its description in RNAcentral is "long non-coding RNA (ACOM_LNC009845)". Lineage: Eukaryota; Viridiplantae; Streptophyta; Magnoliopsida; Poales; Bromeliaceae. The record is from RNAcentral.
UAUAAUUUAUACAUUUUUAAGUAUAUUUAUAAAAUACAAUAUAUAUUACUACUAAACACACACACACACAUAGCUAAUCUCCUAUACUAUUUAUAGUACUGGGACUCUUGUACUAUAGUCUCGUUUUCGAUCUUAGGGUGUUCAAAUCAAUGAUCCACACCGUUAAAACUGAUUUAGGAUAUUUAAAGUUUUAGAAAUAAAAUUUUAUAUUUUUUCGACAUAAUUUACUUUAUGAUCAAACUAUUUCAAAAUUGUUAAUUUUUAAUGACUACUAUGGCGAGUUUGGAGUUUAACGGUAUAGAAGAGCCUAAAUUUUUUUAAAUUUUGAUAGAAAAUACUUUAAACUAUCUAGAUUAAGGUUAACAUUCUUGAUCUUGAAUUUAAAAGUUCUAUGCUCAAAUUUUAAAGAUUAUUCAAUUUUCACCGUCCAUUUUGACAUAAUUUAUUUACUAAGUAAACGAUGUCGAAAAAAACUAAAAUUUUAUUUCUAAGAACUUCAUAUACCCUAAAUCAUAUUUAAUGGUGUGUAUCGUUAAUUUGAACACCUUAAGAUCGAAAAUAAGACUAUAGUAUCAGAGCUCCAGUACUAUAGUAUAAUAGCCUAAUUCUAUAUAUAUAUAUAUAUAUAUAUAUAUAUAU